GUGCCAGCCGCCGCGGUAAUACAGAGGUCCCAAGCGUUGUUCGGAUUCACUGGGCGUAAAGGGUGCGUAGGUGGUGAGGUAAGUCGGAUGUGAAAGCUCGGAGCUCAACUCCGAAAUGGCAUUGGAAACUGCCUUGCUAGAGGUUCGGAGGGGGGACUGGAAUACUUGGUGUAGCAGUGAAAUGCGUAGAUAUCAAGUGGAACACCAGUGGCGAAGGCGAGUCCCUGGACGAAAUCUGACACUGAGGCACGAAAGCUAGGGGAGCAAACAGGAUUAGAAACCCCCGUAGUCC
Molecule: ribosomal RNA, 292 nt
Filed under: uncultured bacterium
Lineage: Bacteria
Description: partial 16S ribosomal RNA
Rfam family: Bacterial small subunit ribosomal RNA
Source: RNAcentral